CGGACACAUAUCUCAGGUCCCAUUCGUUUUCUUUAAUAAAAUACUAUUAUCAUAACCCCUAUUAAGCGGACACCCCUCUUUAACGGACGCGGACACCUUACUUGAGGUCCCAAUGGGCAAACCAACCUCUCUUAAGCGGACAGAUGACAGAUUGUCUGAUAAAAUGUAUUCAAUAUUCGACAGUAAAUAACAAUUGAGAUCAAUUUACAUGGCACAUUGACAGUGACA
This is a non-coding RNA of Paramuricea clavata, 228 nucleotides long. Lineage: Eukaryota; Metazoa; Cnidaria; Anthozoa; Malacalcyonacea; Plexauridae. The record is from the annotation of a GenBank genome assembly.